This 245-nucleotide ribosomal RNA is filed under the name uncultured bacterium. RNAcentral's name for it is "partial 16S ribosomal RNA". It matches the Rfam family "Bacterial small subunit ribosomal RNA", at positions 15 to 253 of the family's 1533-position model. The record is from RNAcentral.
GAUCAUGGCUCAGAUUGAACGCUGGCGGCAGGCCUAACACAUGCAAGUCGAACGGUAACAGGAAACAGCUUGCUGUUUCGCUGACGAGUGGCGGACGGGUGAGUAAUGUCUGGGAAACUGCCUGAUGGAGGGGGAUAACUACUGGAAACGGUAGCUAAUACCGCAUAACGUCGCAAGACCAAAGAGGGGGACCUUCGGGCCUCUUGCCGGGAUCGGAUGUGCCCAGAUGGGAUUAGCUAGUAGGG